CAAAAUAGUAAUUUGAGGUGUUUUUGAUGUUAGGUAUUGAUCUAAUUGUAUGACUAACAUUGAUAAUAGCCUAUCACCAUGAGUGCUGAAUGGAUAUUUAAGCCUAUACUUAAUUAUGGGCAAAAAAUUUCUCCUUCCCUUUUGUAUAUGAGGCUUCUUCUUUAUGCUUUCUAGGUUCUAGAAAGGAGGCAAGGAUUUUAAAGCCAUGGGUGAUUAUCAUAGAUAUUCACAAUGGCAAACCUAAAGGAUUUAGAAGCUCUGCACCACCCAAAGGGAAAGCACCAGUGAGAGUCAGGAUGCAAUUCCAGACAAGUGCCAUUCCUUAUUCAAAAUGUCAAGGUCAGGUGUGGAUGAUGAGUUCAGAUCUGUGCCAGCAACUGUGAAGACUGGAAGACUGACUGGAAGGAAAAAACACAACAGUUUUCUGGAACAGCGAGAUGCAAAAAUCCUGAACCUUCAAAGCCAGCUCCUGCAGAAGAGAGAGGGCCUGGCAGCUGAGGUAUGGUGCUCCCUCAUUUUUUGCCCCCCUUUAAAAAGCUUCAUGUGUGUCUGCAUGUGAUCGUAUGAUAGGGAGACGCACGAAGAAAUGCCUGGGGUAAC
This 600-nucleotide long non-coding RNA is filed under the name Mustela putorius furo (domestic ferret). RNAcentral describes it as "lncRNA (ENSMPUG00000027329.1)". Lineage: Eukaryota; Metazoa; Chordata; Mammalia; Carnivora; Mustelidae. The record is from RNAcentral.